AGUUCUUAGCUAAUAGGUUCCAAGAUCCUUCCAAAUGGCUCCUCCUCCUCCCGCCAAGUGACACAGAUCGAUUUGACUCCCAUUUCAUUGGCCAAAGAAAGUUCCACAACCAUAUGUUACUCAAGGAGCUACCAUUCUACAAAGUUUAUGGAAGGCUGAGGAAAUGAAAAUAUUUUGGUCAAUGAAUACAGUGAAAGUGAAUUUUGUACAACUUCUGAGAAGGGCUUCAAGAUGUCUUGUAGCUUCUGGGCUUGCAUUCUUGGAACAGUGAGACCACAUGGAGAGAGAGGUCAGACAAGAGUUAGCACCGAUCUCCAGAUGCAUGAGUGAAGCUGUUUUGGACCAUCCAGCCCCAGGAUAAAGCCACUCCAAAUCUGGAAAUGCAGAUGGUUUAUCAUUGAAGACAGUGAUCUUAGCUGAAGACGUACCACGGCAUAUCUGCU
RNAcentral lists this long non-coding RNA (443 nucleotides) under Equus caballus (horse). RNAcentral's name for it is "lncRNA (ENSECAG00000056221.1)". The record is from RNAcentral. Lineage: Eukaryota; Metazoa; Chordata; Mammalia; Perissodactyla; Equidae.